Molecule: ribosomal RNA, 800 nt
Filed under: uncultured Pelagibacteraceae bacterium
Lineage: Bacteria; Pseudomonadati; Pseudomonadota; Alphaproteobacteria; Candidatus Pelagibacterales; Candidatus Pelagibacteraceae
Description: bacterial SSU rRNA
Rfam family: Bacterial small subunit ribosomal RNA
Source: RNAcentral
GCUGGCGGCACGCCUAACACAUGCAAGUCGAACGAAGUAGCAAUACUUAGUGGCAGACGGGUGAGUAACAUGUAGGUAUCUACCCUAUGGUUUGGAAUAACACGAGGAAACUUGUGCUAAUACCAAAUAAGUCUUUACGGAGAAAGCUUUAUGCGCCAUUGGAUGAGCCUGCACUUGAUUAGUUUGUUGGUGGGGUAAUGGCCUACCAAGACAAUGAUCAAUAGCUGAUUUGAGAGGAUGAUCAGCCACAUUGGGACUGAGACACGGCCCAAACUCCUACGGGAGGCAGCAGUGGGGAAUCUUGCACAAUGGGGGGAACCCUGAUGCAGCGAUGCCGCGUGAGUGAAGAAGGCCUUUGGGUUGUAAAGCUCUUUCGUCGGGGAAGAAAAUGACUGUACCCGAAUAAGAAGGUCCGGCUAACUUCGUGCCAGCAGCCGCGGUAAUACGAAGGGACCUAGCGUAGUUCGGAAUUACUGGGCUUAAAGAGUUCGUAGGUGGUUAAAAAAGUUGGUGGUGAAAUCCCAGAGCUUAACUCUGGAACUGCCAUCAAAACUUUUUAGCUAGAGUAUGAUAGAGGAAAGUAGAAUUUCUAGUGUAGAGGUGAAAUUCGUAGAUAUUAGAAAGAAUACCAAUUGCGAAGGCAGCUUUCUGGAUCAUUACUGACACUGAGGAACGAAAGCAUGGGUAGCGAAGAGGAUUAGAUACCCUCGUAGUCCAUGCCGUAAACGAUGUGUGUUAGACGUUGGAAAUUUAUUUUCAGUGUCGCAGCGAAAGCAGUAAACACACCGCCUGGGGAGUAC